CACAGUCUAUUUGUUACUUUCUUUGCAAAAGAAACUGAGGAUGCUUUUUAGUUACAUAACCCUAACAAAAAUCCAAAGACAGUUAACCAACGUAUAUGCCUUUCCUCCCGUACCUAGGGGAGACAAAAAAAAAAAAAAGAAAGAAAGGGGGGAAAAAAGCAUGUGACAUCCUGUCGCUUGAGAAGGAGGAUUUUAUUUUACAGAGUAAUCCCCGGCUAAAUACUUUGAAAGUCAAAUUUGCAGGCGAGAGCACGUUUUCCAAGCCUUAUAUGCCCCUGUGAAAACGGUGCUGUUAAUGGCAGAAAGCGUGCUCCCUCCUAGCAGUGCUAGGGCGCUGCUGGAAUAAGCCUCCCCAGCACUUGCCUGUGGCCUCUGCACUGUGCACACUCCACACGCCCAGUGAGCGACAGAGACUUUACCUGCUCUCUGCAUGUGCGAAAUUUUUGAGAACUGGACUCUGCAUCACGACUUGUCUACCAUUCCGACUUCCAGGUACAGCCAGGUGGAGGUGGCUGGGAUUUGCACACCUAUAUGGGCCCUUAAGUACUACCAAGUCUGGCUAUUUGAGAUGUUUUGUGGCUGGCACACCUCAUGAUCUGACAGCAGACAUAACUUUUCUUCAACUUUGGUGUUGCAUUGGUCAUCUAGUUCAUCAUGUUAUCACAACAGUGAGAUUAAUACUAACACUAGCUGCAAUCAUCUCUUUCCUGAUUGAAUGCUGUUCUUUUGCAUUUUGUGCUUGAUGGUAUGCAUCUCAAGAGAAGUGUGAAUCUUUAGUUCGAAAGAAUCCCGAGGUAAACUGAUCCCGAGCUUCAGUCCCAUUUAAUUCCAGUGAUACACCAACAAAUGGUGAACAAAAGACUAGAAAUAACAGAAGAAAUGACUGGAGAAACUGAAGAUCAGCUUUUGGCCUGAAUCAAGAGUUUUUACUCUGCCUUGCAGAUGGAUGAGUUUGCAGAUGCUGCUGCUGCUAAUUCUCUUGAAUUUAUAACACACAAGUUUGAAACUGAGCUAACUGGAGAUCUCCUGUGUUGCCACACACUAUCAGCUCAAAAAUAUGCAGAAAACAAAGAUAGAAUAUCAUCAUUGGUUCCCUACAAGAAAAUGUUAUGAAUUAGUAAUUGCAUGAGAUUGGCUUUGGGACGGGCUUUCAAUGACUGGAAGACUUCCUUGGUUGUUGGAGGCCUUUAUAAAGUUGUCUUUAUUUCUACUGUGAUCAUGCAGAAACCAUUAGCCAACAUGAAAAGUAUCAUAGAUAAUUGUUGUGAAAAUAGUUCACUUUAAGAUUGACUUGCAAAGUCAUCUGUAUUUCCAGCUUUAUGUAGUGAAAUGAGCAACAAAUGUGUGAGCUCCUGGUUUUGUUCUAAAGCAUAG
Molecule: long non-coding RNA, 1374 nt
Filed under: Struthio camelus australis
Lineage: Eukaryota; Metazoa; Chordata; Aves; Struthioniformes; Struthionidae
Description: lncRNA (ENSSCUG00000017473.1)
Source: RNAcentral